Molecule: long non-coding RNA, 208 nt
Filed under: Phoenix dactylifera (date palm)
Lineage: Eukaryota; Viridiplantae; Streptophyta; Magnoliopsida; Arecales; Arecaceae
Description: long non-coding RNA (PDAC_LNC010337)
Source: RNAcentral
AGAGAGUUGACUCACGGACUGUUGAAGUCGGCUCGUCUACUGUUCAUCUAAGAGAUGUUUCUGUCUUUCUCUGAGAGAGUCGACUCACGGACUGUUGGAGUCGGUUCGUCUACUAUUCAUCUAAAAUUGUUCUUUUGUCUUUAUCUGUGGGAGUCAACUCAAGAACUGCGGGAAUCGACUUAUGAACUAUUCUUCUGAAAUUGUAUUU